This 395-nucleotide ribosomal RNA is filed under the name uncultured bacterium. Its description in RNAcentral is "partial 16S ribosomal RNA". It matches the Rfam family "Bacterial small subunit ribosomal RNA", at positions 338 to 730 of the family's 1533-position model. The record is from RNAcentral.
CCUACGGGUGGCAGCAGUGAGGAAUAUUGGUCAAUGGACGGAAGUCUGAACCAGCCAAGCCGCGUGCGGGAUGAAGGCUCUGUGUAUUGUAAACUUCUUUUGUCCGAGGGUAAAGCCGGGUACGUGUCUCCGGCUGAGAGUACCUUACGAAAAAGGAUCGGCUAACUCCGUGCCAGCAGCCGCGGUAAUACGGAGGAUGCGAGCGUUAUCCGGAUUUAUUGGGUUUAAAGGGUGCGCAGGCGGUCUGUUAAGUUAGAGGUGAAAGGUCCGGGGUUAACCCGGGGCCUGGCUGUAAUUCUGGCAGUCGCGAGAUGGAGUGCGGUAGGCGGAAUGUGGGGUGUAGCGGUGAAAUGCUUAGAUAUCGUGCAGAACACCGAUUGCGAAGGCAGCAUGCC